RNAcentral lists this ribosomal RNA (763 nucleotides) under uncultured Streptococcus sp. RNAcentral's name for it is "bacterial SSU rRNA". It matches the Rfam family "Bacterial small subunit ribosomal RNA", at positions 28 to 776 of the family's 1533-position model. The record is from RNAcentral. Lineage: Bacteria; Bacillati; Bacillota; Bacilli; Lactobacillales; Streptococcaceae.
GACGAACGCUGGCGGCGUGCCUAAUACAUGCAAGUAGAACGCUGAAGGAGGAGCUUGCUUCUCUGGAUGAGUUGCGAACGGGUGAGUAACGCGUAGGUAACCUGCCUGGUAGCGGGGGAUAACUAUUGGAAACGAUAGCUAAUACCGCAUAAGAGUAGAUGUUGCAUGACAUUUGCUUAAAAGGUGCAAUUGCAUCGCUACCAGAUGGACCUGCGUUGUAUUAGCUAGUUGGUGAGGUAACGGCUCACCAAGGCGACGAUACAUAGCCGACCUGAGAGGGUGAUCGGCCACACUGGGACUGAGACACGGCCCAGACUCCUACGGGAGGCAGCAGUAGGGAAUCUUCGGCAAUGGACGGAAGUCUGACCGAGCAACGCCGCGUGAGUGAAGAAGGUUUUCGGAUCGUAAAGCUCUGUUGUAAGAGAAGAACGAGUGUGAGAGUGGAAAGUUCACACUGUGACGGUAUCUUACCAGAAAGGGACGGCUAACUACGUGCCAGCAGCCGCGGUAAUACGUAGGUCCCGAGCGUUGUCCGGAUUUAUUGGGCGUAAAGCGAGCGCAGGCGGUUAGAUAAGUCUGAAGUUAAAGGCUGUGGCUUAACCAUAGUACGCUUUGGAAACUGUUUAACUUGAGUGCAAGAGGGGAGAGUGGAAUUCCAUGUGUAGCGGUGAAAUGCGUAGAUAUAUGGAGGAACACCGGUGGCGAAAGCGGCUCUCUGGCUUGUAACUGACGCUGAGGCUCGAAAGCGUGGGGAGCAAACAGG